Molecule: ribosomal RNA, 476 nt
Filed under: uncultured soil bacterium
Lineage: Bacteria
Description: bacterial SSU rRNA
Rfam family: Bacterial small subunit ribosomal RNA
Source: RNAcentral
AGGACGAACGCUGGCGGCGUGCUUAACACAUGCAAGUCGAGCGGUAAGGCCUUUCGGGGUACACGAGCGGCGAACGGGUGAGUAACACGUGGGUGAUCUGCCCUGCACUUCGGGAUAAGCCUGGGAAACUGGGUCUAAUACCGGAUAUGACCUCCUAUCGCAUGGUGGGUGGUGGAAAGAUUUAUCGGUGCAGGAUGGGCCCGCGGCCUAUCAGCUUGUUGGUGGGGUAAUGGCCUACCAAGGCGACGACGGGUAGCCGACCUGGGAGGGUGACCGGCCACACUGGGACUGAGACACGGCCCAGACUCCUACGGGAGGCAGCAGUGGGGAAUAUUGCACAAUGGGCGAAAGCCUGAUGCAGCGACGCCGCGUGAGGGAUGAAGGCCUUGGGUUGUAAAACCUCUUUCAGCAGGGACGAAGCGCGAGUGACGGUACCUGCAGAAGAAGCACCGGCUAAACUACGUGCCAGCAGCCGC